AUGUGCUGUCCAGUGAUGAAUGGGGCACGUUAACCUUCUGCUCUUCACACUCGGUCCACACCUGGCUGGGACCUCAGCCCCUGCACCACUGCGCAGUAGCUCCUGAGCUCAGUGGACCCACAACCCUGUUCUGGAAUUGGAAACCAUGCUGUGGGGAGGGAAUGUCGUGGAAAGUCUCAGCUGGAAGAUGCAAGGAUUUGAAAAUCUUUUCUGUAGUCUGAAGUUUUCCUUUCAGGAUCCGAAAUCUGUGAGCAGCAGAUGAUCCUGACGACAGUGGAGAGGAAUACUUGGGAAAGUUUACUUAAAGGAGGACAGGUUAGAAAAACAAUCUCUCUCUUCACUGCUUGAAUCAGUCAGCAUGACGCUGACGACGACACAGUUGGAAGAGAAUGCAGCAGGCUCCUUGGUCCUGAGGCAAAGCAGCCCACACAGUCAGUUAAUGUGAGGAGACUGGUCUGUGCUUGGAGGCAGUGUGGCAGGGUUUGUGAGGUGGGGGCCCUGGAUGCAAGUCAGACGAUCUAAUCAAAGCAAUCCUUUUGGUUUCCAGUUCUGUCAAGGGAAUAAAGGGGGUAGGGAGAGUGCCUGCUAAGUUUGAAAGAGGUGCUGCAGGACUGGGCUCGUCUCCAGGAUACAGGGCACUCUUGAGUGUCCCUCUCUGGGAGCGUGUUAUUGAGCCGUUAAGCGAUGAAAAACUUCUCUUGGUGAGGAAGGUGCUCUCUCUCUCUCUCUGCAAGCGUCUCCAGCACCAAGGGGCACUGAUAGAUGGGCUCAGUGCAGUCAAGGGACAGCGAAUUUUCGGAGGCGGGAGUGAAGUGGCUGAGAAGCUGUGGAAGCCUGUGUCCAGGGGGCCUGGAAGAGGAUUUCCAUGGAGCUCAUGGUUUUGUGGUCCCCUGGGCAGACUUGGCCAAUCACUCUGAAGUUUUCUCCAGCUGCUGUGACACAGGCUUGCUUUCUUAUUGGCUGCUGUAGCAGCUCUGACGUUGCAUUCGCUGGUGAGGCUGAGCUGAGUCAGAGAAUGUCCAGAAACGUACAGCCAGGCGAUUUCAAAUGUCUCUGCUCCAUCACCCAGGGUGCAGGCUAGCCUCACCCCAUGUGGAUUCUGCCCAGCACUGGAACUACCUCCAGAGAAUGCACUGGACAUAGAAGGAACUCAUCUCAUUCGCAGCAUGUCCUGGGCUCCAGAGUCCCCAGCAUACUGCUGGCAUGGUUACUGCUUCGUUGUGCUGCCCAGCCCUGGGGACUGGGGACACCUGGCUGAGCUCAGUUCCCAGCUACAGAAGGAUGUAAUGUCCUAUCUAAGCUGCUGAUCUUCGUGAUCCUCACAUGGAUUCCCCUCCCCUCCCUCUGCUCCAGUGCAGGGACCAAACCACAGGGAAGCAGGGGAGGGGGAAGGGGUACUUUGGCCCAAGCAGCACACACAAGCCAAACAAGCAAUUGUCGGGGAAAGUCAAUGUUUCUUGUGCCAGUGGCAUGUCUGUUUACAAACGGCUCAGCCCUGAUUUUAAACAAAAUGGAAAAGUAAUAAUAAAAUAACCUUGGCGAAGAGCUUUAGCUGAACA
Molecule: long non-coding RNA, 1559 nt
Filed under: Chrysemys picta bellii (western painted turtle)
Lineage: Eukaryota; Metazoa; Chordata; Testudines; Emydidae
Description: lncRNA (ENSCPBG00000025250.1)
Source: RNAcentral